UCCAGUGUGGCAUAAUGGGUUGAGUGUUGGACUAUGACUCUAGAGACCAGGGUUCGAUUCCCCACUCGGUUA
Molecule: transfer RNA, 72 nt
Filed under: Phrynosoma platyrhinos (Desert horned lizard)
Lineage: Eukaryota; Metazoa; Chordata; Lepidosauria; Squamata; Phrynosomatidae
Description: tRNA-OTHER
Source: RNAcentral